UUCAUACUUCCUCCGUCUAACAAAAGAUGUCUUAAGUUUAUCAAAAUUUGGAUGCAUCUAGAUAUGACUUAGUAUAUAGAUGCAUUCAAAUUUGAUCAAAGUUGAGACAUCUUUUGUUGGACGGGAAUACAUU
Brachypodium distachyon (stiff brome) is the source of this 133-nucleotide non-coding RNA. NCBI's taxonomy places the organism in Eukaryota, Viridiplantae, Streptophyta, Magnoliopsida, Poales, Poaceae. The record is from Rfam.